This 466-nucleotide ribosomal RNA is filed under the name uncultured bacterium. Its description in RNAcentral is "bacterial SSU rRNA". It matches the Rfam family "Bacterial small subunit ribosomal RNA", at positions 26 to 518 of the family's 1533-position model. The record is from RNAcentral.
AGGAUGAACGCUGGCGGCGUGCCUAACACAUGCAAGUCGAGCGAUUACUUCGGUAAAGAGCGGCGGACGGGUGGAGUAACGCGUGGGCAACCUGCCUCAUACACAUGGAUAACAUACCGAAAGGUAUGCUAAUACAGGAUAAUGUAAGAGAUUCACAUGGAUUUCUUAUCAAAGCUCCGGCGGUAUGAGAUGGACCCGCGUCUGAUUAGCUAGUUGGUAAGGUAAUGGCUUACCAAGGCGACGAUCAGUAGCCGACCUGAGAGGGUGAUCGGCCACAUUGGAACUGAGACACGGUCCAAACUCCUACGGGAGGCAGCAGUGGGGAAUAUUGCACAAUGGGCGAAAGCCUGAUGCCAGCAACGCCGCGUGAGUGAUGAAGGCCUUCGGGUCGUAAAACUCUGUCCUCAAGGAAGAUAAUGACGGUACUUGAGGAGGAAGCCCCGGCUAACUACGUGCCAGCAGCCGC